RNAcentral lists this signal recognition particle RNA (95 nucleotides) under Gammaproteobacteria bacterium. Its description in RNAcentral is "signal recognition particle sRNA small type". It matches the Rfam family "Bacterial small signal recognition particle RNA". From Rfam's summary of the family: The signal recognition particle (SRP) is a universally conserved ribonucleoprotein involved in the co-translational targeting of proteins to membranes. Archaeal SRP consists of a 7S RNA and homologues of the eukaryotic SRP19 and SRP54 proteins. Lineage: Bacteria; Pseudomonadati; Pseudomonadota; Gammaproteobacteria. The record is from RNAcentral.
CGUGUCGGUCUUCGUGGCGUGAAAUUAUGAACCCCGUCAGGCCUGGAAGGGAGCAGCGGUAAUAAUGGAUACGGGUGCGGUGAUUCGAUGCGGGC